This 223-nucleotide long non-coding RNA is filed under the name Mytilus galloprovincialis (Mediterranean mussel). Lineage: Eukaryota; Metazoa; Mollusca; Bivalvia; Mytilida; Mytilidae. The record is from RNAcentral.
UGUAAAUGUUGUCAUUAUCUUAUAACCGGAUCACUUGGAUAGAGACAUUUGGAUGGAGCAGAGAUGAUCAGAAUGUCAAGAUCUACCUAUACUACUUAUUUUUGACUGAAACUGUCAGACGUUUAUUUGUAUGAGCUAUAUUGCGCUUUUAAAGAUUUUUUUAUUUUAUUUUGACUUUUACCUGUUAAAUUAUAAUACAUUAUAAUAGAUAGAGAACAAAUAA